UUGGAGGGCAAGUCUGGUGCCCGCAGCCGCGGUAAUUCCAGCUCCAAUAGCGUAUAUUAAAGUUGUUGCAGUUAAAAAGCUCGUAGUUGAAUUUCGGGAUCAAUUUAUUGGUCGUGCCAACGGUACGCACUGGUACAAUUGGUUUCUCCCUUCUGACGAAGCAUGAUGUCAUUAAUUUGAUGUCGUGGGGAAUCAGGACUGUUACUUUGAAAAAAUUAGAGGGUUUAAAGCAGGCUUUGGCUUGAAUACAUUAGCAUGGAAUAAUGAAAUAGGACGUUUGAUCUUAUUUCGUUGGUUUCUAAGAUCGACGUAAUGAUUAAUAGGGAUAGUUGGGGGCAUUAGUAUUCAAUUGUCAGAGGUGAAAUUCUUGGAUUUAUUGAAGACUAACUACUGCGAAAGCAUUUGCCAAGGAUGUCUUCAUUAAUCAAGAACGAAAGUUAGGGGAUCGAAGACGAUCAGAUACCGUCGUAGUCUUAACCAUAAACUAUGCCGACUAGGGAUCGGAUGAUGUUAAUUUUUUAAUGACUCAUUCGGCGCCUUACGGGAAAC
RNAcentral lists this ribosomal RNA (549 nucleotides) under uncultured Glomeromycotina. RNAcentral's name for it is "SSU rRNA". It matches the Rfam family "Eukaryotic small subunit ribosomal RNA", at positions 548 to 1098 of the family's 1831-position model. The record is from RNAcentral. Lineage: Eukaryota; Fungi; Glomeromycota.